GACGAACGCUGGCGGCGUGGAUUAGGCAUGCAAGUCGAACGGUAGGGUGCCUUUCGGGGCACUUGAGAGUGGCGAACGGGUGAGUAACGCGUAGGUGAUCUGCCCUCAGGCGGGGGACAACCCGGGGAAACCCGGGCUAAUACCGCAUGUGACUGUAAGGUUAAAGCCGGCCUCUGCAAGCAAGCUGGCGUCUGGGGAUGAGCCUGCGUCCGAUUAGUUAGACGGUGGGGUAACGGCCUACCGUGGCGAUGAUAGGUAGGCGGCUUUAACGAGUGGCCGCCCACACUGGGAUUGAGAAACGGCCCAGACUCCUACGGGAGGCUG
Molecule: ribosomal RNA, 324 nt
Filed under: uncultured Spirochaetota bacterium
Lineage: Bacteria; Pseudomonadati; Spirochaetota
Description: bacterial SSU rRNA
Rfam family: Bacterial small subunit ribosomal RNA
Source: RNAcentral